This 253-nucleotide ribosomal RNA is filed under the name uncultured bacterium. Its description in RNAcentral is "partial 16S ribosomal RNA". It matches the Rfam family "Bacterial small subunit ribosomal RNA", at positions 524 to 776 of the family's 1533-position model. The record is from RNAcentral.
UACAGAGGGUGCAAGCGUUGUUCGGAAUUAUUGGGCGUAAAGCGCGUGUAGGCGGCUUUGCAAGUCGGGUGUGAAAGCCCUCAGCUUAACUGAGGAAGUGCGCCCGAAACUGCUUGGCUUGAGUACCGGAGAGGAUGGCGGAAUUCCCCAAGUAGAGGUGAAAUUCGUAGAUAUGGGGAGGAACACCGGUGGCGAAGGCGGCCAUCUGGACGGAUACUGACGCUGAGACGCGAAAGCGUGGGGAGCGAACAGG